RNA transcript from Orussus abietinus, 1297 nucleotides. It is a transcript of the gene named guanine nucleotide-binding protein subunit beta-2, with no coding region annotated. NCBI's taxonomy places the organism in Eukaryota, Metazoa, Arthropoda, Insecta, Hymenoptera, Orussidae. The record is from RefSeq and is a predicted model, not a curated record. The transcript is spliced from 7 exons.
UCGGCACUAGUUUAGUGAAGGUUCUUGUGUUUUCAGUAAGAGAAAACUGGUUCUCCCGUUACCUUAAACAAUGGGGAAGGAUGAUUCGGAAACAGCAGCUUUGAAGAAAGAACUGGAGGAUCUGAUUAACAAAUGCAAGGAAGACCAGAAGAAACAACAAGAUGCAACAUUAGAAGAGACAUGCAGCGGCCUGGCUGAUGCUCCAAAAGUUAAAUUAUCCACCAAAAAAUUACUAAAAGGGCACAUUAACAAAGUGAACUCGGUACAUUUCAGCGGGGACAGCAGGCACUGUGUUACUGGAUCCUUGGAUGGUAAACUGAUAAUUUGGGAUUCAUGGACUGGUAAUAAAGUACAAGUAAUUCCCCUGCGAUCAGCUUGGGUGAUGUCGGUGGCUUUUGCCCCAUCUGGAAAUUUCGUUGCUUGUGGAGGAAUGGACAAUAUGUGUACCAUAUAUGACGUUAAUAAUCGAGAUUCAACGGGAUCAGCAAAAAUUGUCCGAGAGUUGCUGGGUUACGAAGGUUUCUUGUCCUCCUGCAGAUUUCUUGAAGACAAGAGGAUCAUCACGGGAUCGGGUGAUAUGAAAAUAUGCAUUUGGGAUUUGGAAGCCAACAAAAAAACGACCGAUUUUUGUGGUCAUGCUGGUGAUGUAGUCAGCAUCAGUUUGUCACCUGAUGGAAACACUUAUCUUACUGGUUCGGUUGACAAAACGUGUAAAAUCUGGGAUUUAAGGGAGGAAAAAGCGAAGCAAACUUUCUUUGGACACGAGGCCGAUGUUAACUCCGUUUGCUUUCAUCCUUCAGGCCAAGCGUUUGUAACAGCAUCGGAAGACAAAACGGCUCGAAUCUGGGAUUUAAGAUCUGAUCAACAAUUAGCAACUUUUAAGCCACCAAACUCGCAGCCUGGCUUUACAUCUUGUGGUCUUUCCUUUAGCGGUAGAUUCAUAUUUUGCGGAAGCGAUGAUAAUUCAAUUCAUAUAUGGGAUACGCUGAAAGUUCAACACAAUGGUGUUUUAUCGGGACACGAAAACAGAGUGACAUCGCUAAGUGUAGCAGGAAAUGGAAUGGCAGUAGCUAGCUGCUCCUGGGAUCAAAAUGUUAGAAUCUGGGUCUAGAGAAGAAUAUUAUUGUACCAAUUAAUUGACCCAUCUUGAGCAACAACCGAAAUAUGAAAUGUAAAAAACUAACAAUUUAUAUUCUACGAAACCUGUUACUGCGUAUUAUUAUGUAAUUCCCAAUUGUUGACUGAAAAUAUUAAGUUCCACUGCAUUGUAGUUAGAUUAAGAUAUGAUGGAAUCAGA